CACUAUCCCAUUUAAGAGAGUCGUCAACCUAUUUUAUGUUUAUAUGUUAGUUCUCAAAUCAAAUUAAUCUAUAGAUUUAUACCACUUAGAACUUCAUAAGGAACCACGUUCAAGAAAAUAAAUAACGUUUUAGAAUAGUUAGCUUGGCUGUUGCUGCAGUAUACAAGUUACGAUAUAAUAAAAGUGCAAAAUGAUCAAACGCUGCAGCAGCACAGUUUCACAGCGAAACUAUUAUUCUCUACUACUGUCCAUCCAAUGUUCCGAUGGCCUCCUGCAGAAGUCUUUGCGCUUCUUCUCUUCUCCUGAACCAACAAAAACGAUUUUUGAUUCACAGAUUCAGAUGAGAACAAGCACAUUUAGAAGGGAUAUCCAACUGCUCGGUUGGUGAAUACAGCUGCUAAACGAAUUGUUGGCUGUACGCAACAGGGUCUUAUACAAACUAAUUAUCAUCAAUAAACACGGAAAAUUAUUCAGCAUCUAUUCAAGAGAGAACACUCGCGAAAUAUUAAACUAAUGUCAUCUAUAUUAAGCCAGUUUCCAUAGCGAGCAAUAAUAGCAACUUCAUUUAUCAAACUAGAUUACACAUUUACCAAAAAAUCUUUUUACAGAAAAAAUAAAUUUUAUUUCGAGAAGAUAUUUACCCUAUCAAGAGUGGUACUCCUCCCCCAACCCCUGGCCCAAAAAAAAUAGAGAAAAUCAAACAUCAAUCAUCUGCCCCAUUCUAAGCAUCUUCAAGACAAACAAGUCCCAUAUAAUAGUAUUUAUUCCCAGAUCAGGAGAACCAUUCUACUCAACUUUUCAAUUAUGUCCAAGCAUACAACCUAUGGAGCCAGUUUCUCUGUGGAUUUGUUGAGAUUAUAUUGCUUAUUGAUGUGUGAGAUUUUCUACUCCUAAUUUUUACUUCUCUCCUCCUAAUCUUUAAUCCUAUUUAUGUGUCAAGUUGUUGAUCAUGUACAUUUAUACCAAUUGGAGUGGGAUUACCACGAAAUCAAAUGGAAAAAAACAAUACCCUAUCAUAUUCCAUCCAACCACAAAUAAGAAUCAAAAUCAAAAUAAAGAAUAUGUUUAAUUAGAAUUGCAAUCAAAUAUAUUUUGCAUUUUUACACUAUUAAAGAAAAACAAAUUAAACUUUUCUUUCUUUAUUAAGUAAAUAAUAAUUUCACAACCAGGAAAAGAAAAUUUAUGAGAAAGAAACCGAUAGAAAAGAUAGAAAAGGAACUUCAGAUAUUUUAAACUUACAUCAGAUGCUAUAAAAUUUUCCCAACUUCGCAUGGCCAAAGGCACUAGACUAAAAAAUCACAUUUUUCGGUAGAUUUUAAACUCAAAGGCUUCCCCAAAUUACUGUGGCUCCUUUGUUUCGAUAACUAGAAUUUUGAUACCAUAAAUAUGUUUUGAUAAAAUAGUAACCAUAACCCUUCUCUACAUUGCCAAGAGGGGGUGGAGAGUUCAUUUCUCCCUCAAAAUCAACCCUUACCUACCUAUCUGACUUGAUCGUGAUAGGCCUCCAAUAUGGUUCACGUACUCUAGAAGGCUCCAGAAGGAUGGAGAAGCAGCUCAGCGCUGAAGAGUAACUAAUUUCUGUUUUAGGGGCAUGUGGGUGGGGAACUAAUUCGGUUAGAGGAAGAUUAUAAAUAGGGGAAGGGAAGAAAGGGUAGGGCAGGCAAUUGUUUAGUGAGUAUUGGAGUAAAGACUUGUAUAUCAUUCUAUUUUUCUGUAAUCACUUUUCCGUCAAUCAAAGAGUUGUGAAUUCUUCACUUGAACUUGUUCUUUCCAGUUGGUAUCUUAUCAAUUGGUAUCAGAGCAUGUUCGAUCUGAUGGCUGAGAAAAAGAUAGAAAUCAGAGUAGAAGCAAUGGAGAGGAAGCUGAAGGAAUUAAAAACAGAACUUCAAUGCUUACCUAGACUGGAAAGAGCAGUGAAGCACUUAAUCCAGAUUAUGGCCAAGAUGACGGAAUCAAUGGAGGCAAUCCAGGAAGAUGUGGCAGCCUGAUUCAUCCUAAGGCAUCCACGAACAAAUCGCUGGAAGGAGAUGUGUCCAGAAGUACCAUGGAAGAGGCACCUCCUACUAAUAUCCACCUGGGACCCUUAGGUGAUCAACGUGCUCAAGAUCGAGGAAAGUGGCUAGGAGGAAUAGGAGAAGCUAGCACCGGUAGAAUAGCCUGCAAUUCUGAUAGAAACAGAGAUGAAGGCAAUUGGCGGAGGCAGCCGAUGCAGGAAGGGAGUUUAUGUGAGGAAUUGUUGGCCAUCUAUCAGGUGGGGACUGCUGAGGAGUUCAGAAAGAUGUUCGAAGCAUUGGCUACACCAUUACGGGGUAUUCCUGAAGAGAUUCUGGAAACCACAUUUGUUAAUGGGCUUAACCCAAAUAUUUGGGCCAAAAUUUGUUUACACUGCCCAAGUGGAUUAGGCCUCAUUAUGGAAACAGCCCAAAGAGUGGAAGAAAAAAAUCUGAUCAUCAAAGCUACAAAAGAAACCUUGGGCCCAAAAUUCUUCAAAUCAAGGCCAAUUCAUGGAGAGAUGAAGACUAGCGAACCUUCUCCCACACGAACAGUGAUAGUCGGAGAGAAAUCACCAAUCCAGCACCCGAAAAUUGUCAUGACACUGGAAGGUGGGGCUAUCCUCGAGAUUAUUCCGACCGAUGAAUUGCAGCACAUAGAAGUUUUGGGGAUGGGGACGACAGGUUAUGGAGUUUGCUUGGGCACUAUACUAUUAGUAGAUUGUAACUCAGCCCAGUUCCUGAUACUUCAGUAUCUCCUUC
Molecule: long non-coding RNA, 2753 nt
Filed under: Olea europaea (common olive)
Lineage: Eukaryota; Viridiplantae; Streptophyta; Magnoliopsida; Lamiales; Oleaceae
Description: long non-coding RNA (OEUR_LNC015069)
Source: RNAcentral